Molecule: ribosomal RNA, 468 nt
Filed under: uncultured bacterium
Lineage: Bacteria
Description: partial 16S ribosomal RNA
Rfam family: Bacterial small subunit ribosomal RNA
Source: RNAcentral
GACGAACGCUGGCGGCGUGCUUAACACAUGCAAGUCGAACGGAAAGGCCCUGCUUUUGUGGGGUGCUCGAGUGGCGAACGGGUGAGUAACACGUGAGUAACCUGCCCUUGACUUUGGGAUAACUUCAGGAAACUGGGGCUAAUACCGGAUAGGAGCUCCUUCUUCAUGGUGGGGGUUGGAAAGUUUCGGCGGUUGGGGAUGGACUCGCGGCUUAUCAGCUUGUUGGUGGGGUAGUGGCUUACCAAGGCUUUGACGGGUAGCCGGCCUGAGAGGGUGACCGGCCACAUUGGGACUGAGAUACGGCCCAGACUCCUACGGGAGGCAGCAGUGGGGAAUAUUGCACAAUGGGCGGAAGCCUGAUGCAGCAACGCCGCGUGCGGGAUGACGGCCUUCGGGUUGUAAACCGCUUUCGCCUGUGACGAAGCGUGAGUGACGGUAAUGGGUAAAGAAGCACCGGCUAACUACGUG